AGUGAACGCUGGCGGUAGGCCUAACACAUGCAAGUCGAACGGCAGCACAGUAAGAGCUUGCUCUUACGGGUGGCGAGUGGCGGACGGGUGAGGAAUACAUCGGAAUCUACUUUUUCGUGGGGGAUAACGUAGGGAAACUUACGCUAAUACCGCAUACGACCUACGGGUGAAAGCAGGGGAUCUUCGGACCUUGCGCGAUUGAAUGAGCCGAUGUCGGAUUAGCUAGUUGGCGGGGUAAAGGCCCACCAAGGCGACGAUCCGUAGCUGGUCUGAGAGGAUGAUCAGCCGCACUGGAACUUGGACACGGUCCAGGCUCCUACGGGAGGCAGCAGUGGGGAAUAUUGGACAAUGGGCGCAAGCCUGAUCCAGCCAUACCGCGUGGGUGAAGAAGGCCUUCGGGUUGUAAAGCCCUUUUGUUGGGAAAGAAAAGCAGCAGGUUAAUACCCCGCUGUUCUGACGGUAGCCAAAGAAUAAGCACCGGCUAACUUCGUG
This 492-nucleotide ribosomal RNA is filed under the name uncultured bacterium. RNAcentral describes it as "partial 16S ribosomal RNA". It matches the Rfam family "Bacterial small subunit ribosomal RNA", at positions 29 to 507 of the family's 1533-position model. The record is from RNAcentral.